UUAACGGGUAUUAUGGGAUAGUAUGUGAUGGGUAGUGAAAAACCAUUGUUUUACCUCUGAUUAGAUUGAUGCAUGAUGAAUUGUGAACUCUUUGGAUGAACGAAAUUGGGGUAUAAUUGAGAAAGAAUUCGUAGGAAUUAGAUGUAAAAGUGUCAAAUUUUGUGUAAUCGAAUAAGGUACGAAUUGUGUUGAAAAUAUGAAUGAUUUCUGUGUAGAAAUUGGACUGUGGAAGGUUGGUUUGAGUAGAUCUCGUAGCAGAGAAAGCC
RNAcentral lists this long non-coding RNA (266 nucleotides) under Lathyrus oleraceus (garden pea). RNAcentral's name for it is "Pisum sativum (pea) long non-coding RNA (PSAT_LNC027764)". The record is from RNAcentral. Lineage: Eukaryota; Viridiplantae; Streptophyta; Magnoliopsida; Fabales; Fabaceae.